AACGAACGCUGGCGGCAGGCUUAACACAUGCAAGUCGAACGCACUCUUCGGAGUGAGUGGCAGACGGGUGAGUAACGCGUGGGAACCUACCUAGAAGUUUGGAAUAACACAGAGAAAUUUGUGCUAAUACCGGAUACGCCCUACGGGGGAAAGAUUUAUCGCUUCUAGAUGGGCCCGCGUUGGAUUAGCUAGAUGGUGGGGUAAUGGCCCACCAUGGCGACGAUCCAUAGCUGGUCUGAGAGGAUGAUCAGCCACACUGGGACUGAGACACGGCCCAGACUCCUACGGGAGGCAGCAGUGGGGAAUAUUGGACAAUGGGCGAAAGCCUGAUCCAGCCAUGCCGCGUGAGUGAUGAAGGCCUUAGGGUUGUAAAGCUCUUUCGCUGGGGAAGAUAAUGACGGUACCCAGUAAAGAAGCCCCGGCUAACUUCG
Molecule: ribosomal RNA, 431 nt
Filed under: uncultured Hyphomicrobiales bacterium
Lineage: Bacteria; Pseudomonadati; Pseudomonadota; Alphaproteobacteria; Hyphomicrobiales
Description: bacterial SSU rRNA
Rfam family: Bacterial small subunit ribosomal RNA
Source: RNAcentral